Molecule: ribosomal RNA, 505 nt
Filed under: uncultured bacterium
Lineage: Bacteria
Description: bacterial SSU rRNA
Rfam family: Bacterial small subunit ribosomal RNA
Source: RNAcentral
GAUGAACGCUAGCUACAGGCUUAACACAUGCAAGUCGAGGGGCAGCGGGAUUGAAGCUUGCUUCAAUUGCCGGCGACCGGCGCACGGGUGAGUAACGCGUAUCCAACCUUCCGUACACUCAGGGAUAGCCUUUCGAAAGAAAGAUUAAUACCUGAUGGUAUGAUGAGAUCGCAUGGUAUCAUCAUUAAAGAUUUAUCGGUGUACGAUGGGGAUGCGUUCCAUUAGGUAGUAGGCGGGGUAACGGCCCACCUAGCCUACGAUGGAUAGGGGUUCUGAGAGGAAGGUCCCCCACAUUGGAACUGAGACACGGUCCAAACUCCUACGGGAGGCAGCAGUGAGGAAUAUUGGUCAAUGGACGAGAGUCUGAACCAGCCAAGUAGCGUGAAGGAUGAAGGUCCUACGGAUUGUAAACUGCUUUUAUAAAGGGAAUAAAGUGGGAGUCGUGACUCUUUUUGUCAUGUACCUUAUGAAUAAGGACCGGCUAAUUCCGUGCAGCAGCCGACGG